UUACGCUGUUAUCCCUAAGGUAAUUUAGUUUUAUAAUCAAUAUAAAUGGAUCAAAUACAUAUAAAUAAAUAUAAAAUAAAUAAAAAGAGUUAAUUAAAUCUUUCCAUCACCCCAACAAAAUAAAUUUUUACAUUAGAAAUUUUCAUACAAAAAAAAAUAAAAAUAUAUAUAAACUCUAUAGGGUCUUCUCGUCCCAAAAAAACAUUUAGGCAUUUUAACCUAAAAUUUAAGUUCAAAAAAAAAAAUAAAGACAGUUAACACCUCGUCAAACCAUUCAUUCCAGCCUACAAUUAAAAGACUAAUGAUUAUGCUACCUUUGCACGGUCAAAAUACCGCGGCCCUUCAAUAUUCAGUGGGCAGGCCAUACAUCAAAAUAUAUUCAAGAAGAGAUGUUUUUGAUAAACAGGCG
This 409-nucleotide ribosomal RNA is filed under the name Cryptocercus sp. JIRI1. Its description in RNAcentral is "partial mitochondrial 16S rRNA gene". The record is from RNAcentral. Lineage: Eukaryota; Metazoa; Arthropoda; Insecta; Blattodea; Cryptocercidae.